RNAcentral lists this long non-coding RNA (2177 nucleotides) under Chinchilla lanigera (long-tailed chinchilla). RNAcentral describes it as "lncRNA (ENSCLAG00000026740.1)". Lineage: Eukaryota; Metazoa; Chordata; Mammalia; Rodentia; Chinchillidae. The record is from RNAcentral.
CUUUCCCCAAGGGAUAAAGGAAGCAAUCUAUAUGUUUACCCACUUCAUACGAUCAAUAACAGUGUGCACGUGUGCAAAAGUGGCAAAAUGGGAUUUAGAACCGCCUUUAUAGUCUAACUGGUUUUGGCAUGUUUACCUGAGUAUCACAGACAGUUCAACAGAUCCACCCCACUCUAGGACUUGUUAAAAAAAAGUUUCUUUGAUUUUUUUUUUGGUAGAAGUAGCCCAAUUCAUUACAAUGGCACAAAGAAACCAGAUUUACAAGCUUUAAAGGAGGCCAAAAGUGAAUCAUCAGAUUACUCAUGCAUGGAUUAUGAAGAUGAUCCAUUAUGGUAAAACACAUGCAUUCAUAACAGAAGACUGAUGUGGGUGGAGAAUGAUGAUGAUGGUGGUGAUGAUGACGACUUUGACAUGGGCCAUGUGAGCCAAAAUUCCUGUGACAGUGAAAUGGAGCAAGAAUUGACUGACACAGACACAGGGAAGGCAGACCUCCUUGAUUCAGAUGAUGAAGAAAACAGCAGUAGGGAUGACCAGACCUGAGUUACUACAAUACUGACAGCCCACCAACUCUUCUGACUAGAGGAAGUAGCCUCUCGAAAUGCAAGAUACUAAGCUGAUGAAAAUAGUAUGUAUGUCUUCUAUCAGCCACCUACCCCGAUUGUGAAUAGAAAUUGAUGAUAAUCUUGUUUUAUUUUUUCCAAAGAAAGUGAUUUUUAUUUGUACAUUUUAGGUAUACAUAAUGAUUGCAUUCAUCAUAGGGAAUUUGUACCUGUACAUGAUAUAACUUGAUUCUUUUCCCAUUCCCUUACCCUCCCUUCACCCCCUCUUCUUUACCUUAUUUACAAAAUCUUUGUUUCCAUUUUUUCCUUCUUUUCUCCCUUUUUUAAAUUUUCUCUUCCUUCCCUUCCCUCCUACCCCCUCUCUUUUUCCCCUUCCCACUGGAACAUUUUGAUGAUGAUCUUAUACUUCAAAAUUAUUUAACUUUAAGCCAACAUUUGCUUUUAGUUAUUAGUAAGUCUUGAAAUGAGACCCCUUAAAAGUACACUCCAUUCUAAGCUUCAGCUAACACAAUUUGAUUCUUAUAUUCUGACACUUAUUUAUACGACCAGACCAAUCAUAACAUCAAAUUUGUAGUCAAACUUUGUUCACGAAAUUUUCAAGAUGGAAAAAUCCAAAUCAUUUGUUAAGUCAUCACAUGGCAGUUUCUUACUACUUCACACUGUCUGAAGCUUCCACUCUUCAUUUUGUUACUUUUUCUGAACUGUUUAAAUUAAACAUGGUAUAAAACACUCAUAAUGCCAAGUGUUACUUUCUCUAUUCAGGAACAACAGUACCCACGUUAAUCUCCUGGCAAGAGGUCAAACACAUGUUAUAUAGACAGAAGUUAUUCAAGUAAGUAACAUAAAUGAUAACCUGAUUAACUCAGCUUUGUUGUUCUCUAUUCAAUACAGUUGUGAGACAUUAAUUUCUGACAAAAGAAAAAAAUGCAUAUUUUUAAUAAAAAGUGGCCCUGAAAAGAAAGCCACCUACUGGUAAUGUUCAGGGAAGAUCAUCAGGUGGAAGGUGGUAUAGUUUACUUCAGCUACUUCAGCACUUACCUACAUAACUGCUAAUACAGGGUUAUACUAAUGUGUACACUUAAUUGCAUUUAGUGACAGAGAUACUAAGGUAUCCAAGAAUUUUGGAAUUCCAAAGAUCCCAGCUCAUUAGCUAACAUAAACAUUAAGGGACAUUUGUGUGUCAACAGUAAAUAAACCAGUGUACUUCCUUGGUUUUCCUUAUGAUACCAUGGAUUUGUUGGCAGAUUUUUUGCCUUUCUUUUUGUCAACACAAUAUCCAAAAGAUUGUUUCUAGCAAACAGUCCUAACUCAGUAGUGAUUCCCUAAUCUCUUUUCUGGCUCAUAAUGUAGAUACUACCAAUCACAAUAUAAAUAUAUAUUAAUUUUUCUUUAGACAAAGCACUUACUUCUUAGACCAAAACAGUCACUGUUCCGAAUCUUCUAUAUAGCUCUGAAAUAUGUUUCUAUCUUAUUUAUCUCCUGUGUCCAUUAUUCAGAAGCCUUAAAUGCUUCCUUUAUAUUUAAGAGAAUAACAUUGAUAAAAUCAUCUUUAGAUGUUAGAGUAGGCUAUGAAAUAAAAAAUUACCUUUUUUUGCAGACAGUAAAAUGAAAAUCCAC